AACGAACGCUGGCGGCAGGCCUAACACAUGCAAGUCAAGCGCGCCCUUCGGGGUGAGCGGCGGACGGGUGAGUAACGCGUGGGAACGUGCCCUUUUCUACGGAAUAGCCUCGGGAAACUGAGAGUAAUACCGUAUACGCCCUUUGGGGGAAAGAUUUAUCGGAAAAGGAUCGGCCCGCGUUGGAUUAGGUAGUUGGUGGGGUAAUGGCCUACCAAGCCGACGAUCCAUAGCUGGUUUGAGAGGAUGAUCAGCCACACUGGGACUGAGACACGGCCCAGACUCCUACGGGAGGCAGCAGUGGGGAAUCUUAGACAAUGGGGGCAACCCUGAUCUAGCCAUGCCGCGUGAGUGAUGAAGGCCUUAGGGUUGUAAAGCUCUUUCAGCUGGGAAGAUAAUGACGGUACCAGCAGAAGAAGCCCCGGCUAACUCCGUG
RNAcentral lists this ribosomal RNA (433 nucleotides) under uncultured bacterium. Its description in RNAcentral is "partial 16S ribosomal RNA". It matches the Rfam family "Bacterial small subunit ribosomal RNA", at positions 29 to 507 of the family's 1533-position model. The record is from RNAcentral.